UACAGAGACGUCAAGCGUUGUUCGGAUUCAUUGGGCGUAAAGGGUCCGUAGGCGGUCGGGUAAGUCAGAUGUGAAAGCUCGAGGCUCAACCUCGAUAGGUCAUUCGAAACUACUCGGCUCGAGGAGUGGAGAGGAGACUGGAAUUGCUGGUGUAGCGGUGAAAUGCGUAGAGAUCAGCAAGAACACCGGUGGCGAAGGCGAGUCUCUGGACACUUCCUGACGCUCAGGGACGAAAGCCAGGGGAGCAAACGGGAUUAGAUACCCCGGUAGUCCUGGCCCUAAACGGUGCUUACUUGGUGUGCGGGGAGUCGACCCCCUGCGUGCCGGAGCUAACGCGUUAAGUAAGCCGCCUGGGAAGUACGGUCGCAAGACUAAAACUCAAAGAAAUUGACGGGGGCCCGCACAAGCGGUGGGGCAUGUGGCUCAAUUCGAUGCAACGCGAAGAACCUUACCUGGCCUUGACAUGUAGCGUGACAGGCGAUGAAAGUCGCUGACGGUCCGAAAGGAUGCUGGGGCUACACAGGUGCUGCAUGGUUGUCGUCAGCUCGUGUCGUGAGAUGUUGGCUUAAGUGCCGCAACGAGCGCAACCCUUGUGUUUAGUUGCUCCGAUGCAAGUCGGAGAUCUCUAAACAGACUGCCUCGCUUCGAACGAGGAGGAAGGUGGGGAUGACGUCAAAUCAGUAUGGCCCUUACGGCCAGGGCUGCACACGUGCUACAAUGCCCGGUACAGAGGGACGCAAGACCGCGAGGUGGAGCAAAUCCCUGAAAACCGGGCCCAGUUCAGAUCGCAGGCUGCAACUCGCCUGCGUGAAGCCGGAAUCGCUAGUAAUGGCGUAUCAGCUACGACGCCGUGAAUACGUUCCCGGGCCU
This 870-nucleotide ribosomal RNA is filed under the name uncultured bacterium. RNAcentral's name for it is "SSU rRNA". It matches the Rfam family "Bacterial small subunit ribosomal RNA", at positions 524 to 1381 of the family's 1533-position model. The record is from RNAcentral.